Myotis lucifugus (little brown bat) is the source of this 114-nucleotide non-coding RNA. Lineage: Eukaryota; Metazoa; Chordata; Mammalia; Chiroptera; Vespertilionidae. The record is from Rfam.
AUAUGUGUCUAUGGGCCUCUCAUAGUGGACCCAUGCCAGAGGAAGUUGCAGCCUCAAACCAUUGCCCAGCCUCCUUACCCUUGGGCUGUGAGCACUGAAGGGGGCUGUACAGUA